AGUGAACGCUGGCGGUAGGCCUAACACAUGCAAGUCGAACGGCAGCACAGAGGAGCUUGCUCCUUGGGUGGCGAGUGGCGGACGGGUGAGGAAUACAUCGGAAUCUACUCUGUCGUGGGGGAUAACGUAGGGAAACUUACGCUAAUACCGCAUACGACCUACGGGUGAAAGCAGGGGCUCUUCGGACCUUGCGCGAUUGAAUGAGCCGAUGUCGGAUUAGCUAGUUGGCGGGGUAAAGGCCCACCAAGGCGACGAUCCGUAGCUGGUCUGAGAGGAUGAUACGCCACACUGGAACUGGGACACGGGCCAGACUCCUACGGGAGGCAGCAGUGGGUAAUAUUGGACAAUGGGCGCAAGCCUGAUCCAGCCAUACCGCGUGGGUGAAGAAGGCCUUCGGGUUGUAAAGCCCUUUUGUUAGGAAAGAAAUCCAUCUGGUUAAUACCCGGGUGGGAUGACGGUACCCAAAGAAUAAGCACCGGCUAACUUCGUGCCAGCCGCCGCAGUAA
Molecule: ribosomal RNA, 506 nt
Filed under: uncultured bacterium
Lineage: Bacteria
Description: partial 16S ribosomal RNA
Rfam family: Bacterial small subunit ribosomal RNA
Source: RNAcentral